This 763-nucleotide ribosomal RNA is filed under the name Prevotella melaninogenica. RNAcentral's name for it is "bacterial SSU rRNA". It matches the Rfam family "Bacterial small subunit ribosomal RNA", at positions 28 to 776 of the family's 1533-position model. Lineage: Bacteria; Pseudomonadati; Bacteroidota; Bacteroidia; Bacteroidales; Prevotellaceae. The record is from RNAcentral.
GAUGAACGCUAGCUACAGGCUUAACACAUGCAAGUCGAGGGGAAACGGCAUUGAGUGCUUGCACUCUUUGGACGUCGACCCGGCGCACGGGUGAGUAACGCGUAUCCAACCUUCCCCAUUACUGUGGGAUAACCUGCCGAAAGGCAGACUAAUACCGCAUAGUCUUCGAUGACGGCAUCAGAUUUGAAGUAAAGAUUUAUCGGUAAUGGAUGGGGAUGCGUCUGAUUAGCUUGUUGGCGGGGUAACGGCCCACCAAGGCAACGAUCAGUAGGGGUUCUGAGAGGAAGGUCCCCCACAUUGGAACUGAGACACGGUCCAAACUCCUACGGGAGGCAGCAGUGAGGAAUAUUGGUCAAUGGACGGAAGUCUGAACCAGCCAAGUAGCGUGCAGGAUGACGGCCCUAUGGGUUGUAAACUGCUUUUGUAUGGGGAUAAAGUUAGGGACGUGUCCCUAUUUGCAGGUACCAUACGAAUAAGGACCGGCUAAUUCCGUGCCAGCAGCCGCGGUAAUACGGAAGGUCCAGGCGUUAUCCGGAUUUAUUGGGUUUAAAGGGAGCGUAGGCUGGAGAUUAAGUGUGUUGUGAAAUGUAGACGCUCAACGUCUGACUUGCAGCGCAUACUGGUUUCCUUGAGUACGCACAACGUUGGCGGAAUUCGUCGUGUAGCGGUGAAAUGCUUAGAUAUGACGAAGAACUCCGAUUGCGAAGGCAGCUGACGGGAGCGCAACUGACGCUUAAGCUCGAAGGUGCGGGUAUCAAACAGG